UUUGGUUAAGUUAGAAAGGGCGCACGGUGGAUGCCUUGACACUAGGAGUCGAUGAAGGACGGGACUAACGCCGAUAUGCUUCGGGGAGCUGUAAGUAAGCUUUGAUCCGAAGAUUUCCGAAUGGGGAAACCCACCAUACGUAAUGGUAUGGUAUCCUUAUCUGAAUACAUAGGAUAAGGAAGACAGACCCAGGGAACUGAAACAUCUAAGUACCUGGAGGAAGAGAAAGCAAAUGCGAUUUCCUGAGUAGCGGCGAGCGAAACGGAACAUAGCCCAAACCAAGAGGCUUGCCUCUUGGGGUUGUAGGACAUUCUAUACGGAGUUACAAAGGAACGAGGUAGACGAAGCGACCUGGAAAGGUCCGUCGUAGAGGGUAACAACCCCGUAGUCGAAACUUCGUUCUCUCUUGAAUGUAUCCUGAGUACGGCGGAACACGUGAAAUUCCGUCGGAAUCUGGGAGGACCAUCUCCCAAGGCUAAAUACUCCCUAGUGAUCGAUAGUGAACCAGUACCGUGAGGGAAAGGUGAAAAGCACCCCGGAAGGGGAGUGAAAGAGAUCCUGAAACCGUGUGCCUACAAAUAGUCAGAGCCCGUUAACGGGUGAUGGCGUGCCUUUUGUAGAAUGAACCGGCGAGUUACGAUCCCGUGCGAGGUUAAGCUGAAGAGGCGGAGCCGCAGCGAAAGCGAGUCUGAAUAGGGCGUUUAGUACGUGGUCGUAGACCCGAAACCAGGUGAUCUACCCAUGUCCAGGGUGAAGUUCAGGUAACACUGAAUGGAGGCCCGAACCCACGCACGUUGAAAAGUGCGGGGAUGAGGUGUGGGUAGCGGAGAAAUUCCAAUCGAACCUGGAGAUAGCUGGUUCUCCCCGAAAUAGCUUUAGGGCUAGCCUUAAGUGUAAGAGUCUUGGAGGUAGAGCACUGAUUGGACUAGGGGUCCUCAUCGGAUUACCGAAUUCAGUCAAACUCCGAAUGCCAAUGACUUAUCCUUAGGAGUCAGACUGCGAGUGAUAAGAUCCGUAGUCAAAAGGGAAACAGCCCAGACCGCCAGCUAAGGUCCCAAAGUGUGUAUUAAGUGGAAAAGGAUGUGGAGUUGCUUAGACAACUAGGAUGUUGGCUUAGAAGCAGCCACCAUUUAAAGAGUGCGUAAUAGCUCACUAGUCGAGUGACUCUGCGCCGAAAAUGUACCGGGGCUAAAUACACCACCGAAGCUGCGGAUUGAUACCAAUGGUAUCAGUGGUAGGGGAGCGUUCUAAGGACAGUGAAGUCAGACCGGAAGGACUGGUGGAGUGCUUAGAAGUGAGAAUGCCGGUAUGAGUAGCGAAAGACGGGUGAGAAUCCCGUCCACCGAAUGCCUAAGGUUUCCUGAGGAAGGCUCGUCCGCUCAGGGUUAGUCAGGACCUAAGCCGAGGCCGACAGGCGUAGGCGAUGGACAACAGGUUGAUAUUCCUGUACCACCUCUUUAUCGUUUGAGCAAUGGAGGGACGCAGAAGGAUAGAAGAAGCGUGCGAUUGGUUGUGCACGUCCAAGCAGUUAGGCUGAUAAGUAGGCAAAUCCGCUUAUCGUGAAGGCUGAGCUGUGAUGGGGAAGCUCCUUAUGGAGCGAAGUCUUUGAUUCCCCGCUGCCAAGAAAAGCUUCUAGCGAGAUAAAAGGUGCCUGUACCGCAAACCGACACAGGUAGGCGAGGAGAGAAUCCUAAGGUGUGCGAGAGAACUCUGGUUAAGGAACUCGGCAAAAUGACCCCGUAACUUCGGGAGAAGGGGUGCUUUCUUAACGGAAAGCCGCAGUGAAUAGGCCCAAGCGACUGUUUAGCAAAAACACAGCUCUCUGCGAAGCCGUAAGGCGAAGUAUAGGGGGUGACACCUGCCCGGUGCUGGAAGGUUAAGGAGAGGGGUUAGCGUAAGCGAAGCUCUGAACUGAAGCCCCAGUAAACGGCGGCCGUAACUAUAACGGUCCUAAGGUAGCGAAAUUCCUUGUCGGGUAAGUUCCGACCCGCACGAAAGGUGUAACGAUUUGGGCACUGUCUCAACCAGAGACUCGGUGAAAUUAUAGUACCUGUGAAGAUGCAGGUUACCCGCGACAGGACGGAAAGACCCCGUGGAGCUUUACUGUAGCCUGAUAUUGAAUUUUGGUACAGUUUGUACAGGAUAGGCGGGAGCCUUUGAAACCGGAGCGCUAGCUUCGGUGGAGGCGCUGGUGGGAUACCGCCCUGACUGUAUUGAAAUUCUAACCUACGGGUCUUAUCGACCCGGGAGACAGUGUCAGGUGGGCAGUUUGACUGGGGCGGUCGCCUCCUAAAGUGUAACGGAGGCGCCCAAAGGUUCCCUCAGAAUGGUUGGAAAUCAUUCGUAGAGUGCAAAGGCAUAAGGGAGCUUGACUGCGAGACCUACAAGUCGAGCAGGGACGAAAGUCGGGCUUAGUGAUCCGGUGGUUCCGCAUGGAAGGGCCAUCGCUCAACGGAUAAAAGCUACCCCGGGGAUAACAGGCUUAUCUCCCCCAAGAGUCCACAUCGACGGGGAGGUUUGGCACCUCGAUGUCGGCUCAUCGCAUCCUGGGGCUGUAGUCGGUCCCAAGGGUUGGGCUGUUCGCCCAUUAAAGCGGUACGCGAGCUGGGUUCAGAACGUCGUGAGACAGUUCGGUCCCUAUCCGUCGUGGGCGUAGGAAAUUUGAGAGGAGCUGUCCUUAGUACGAGAGGACCGGGAUGGACGCACCGCUGGUGUACCAGUUGUUCUGCCAAGGGCAUAGCUGGGUAGCUAUGUGCGGAAGGGAUAAGUGCUGAAAGCAUCUAAGCAUGAAGCCCCCCUCAAGAUGAGAUUUCCCAUAGCGUAAGCUAGUAAGAUCCCUGAAAGAUGAUCAGGUUGAUAGGUUCGAGGUGGAAGCAUGGUGACAUGUGGAGCUGACGAAUACUAAUAGAUCGAGGACUUAACCAUAUAA
This 2929-nucleotide ribosomal RNA is filed under the name Bacillus anthracis (anthrax bacterium). RNAcentral describes it as "bacterial LSU rRNA". It matches the Rfam family "Bacterial large subunit ribosomal RNA". Lineage: Bacteria; Bacillati; Bacillota; Bacilli; Caryophanales; Bacillaceae. RNAcentral also lists the same sequence under 5 other names. The record is from RNAcentral.